UACGAAGGGGGCUAGCGUUGCUCGGAAUCACUGGGCGUAACGGGUGCGUAGGCGGGUCUUUAAGUCAGGGGUGAAAUCCUGGAGCUCAACUCCAGAACUGCCUUUGAUACUGAGGAUCUUGAGUUCGGGAGAGGUGAGUGGAACUGCGAGUGUAGAGGUGAAAUUCGUAGAUAUUCGCAAGAACACCAGUGGCGAAGGCGGCUCACUGGCCCGAUACUGACGCUGAGGCACGAAAGCGUGGGGAGCAAACAGG
RNAcentral lists this ribosomal RNA (253 nucleotides) under uncultured bacterium. Its description in RNAcentral is "partial 16S ribosomal RNA". It matches the Rfam family "Bacterial small subunit ribosomal RNA", at positions 524 to 776 of the family's 1533-position model. The record is from RNAcentral.